GCCGUCAGGGUCUGAUUUG
RNAcentral lists this microRNA (19 nucleotides) under Schistosoma mansoni. Its description in RNAcentral is "sma-miR-8483-5p". Lineage: Eukaryota; Metazoa; Platyhelminthes; Trematoda; Strigeidida; Schistosomatidae. The record is from miRBase by way of RNAcentral.